AUACGUAUGUCGCAAGCGUUAUCCGGAAUUAUUGGGCGUAAAGCGAGUCUAGGCGGCUUGUUAAGUCAGAUGUGAAAAUGCGGGGCUCAACUCCGUAUUGCGUUUGAAACUGGCAGGCUAGAGUACUGGAGAGGUGGGCGGAACUACAAGUGUAGAGGUGAAAUUCGUAGAUAUUUGUAGGAAUGCCGAUAGUGAAGACAGCUCACUGGACAGAUACUGACGCUAAAGCUCGAAAGCGUGGGGAGCGAACAGGAUUAGAAACCCUGGUAGUCC
RNAcentral lists this ribosomal RNA (273 nucleotides) under uncultured bacterium. Its description in RNAcentral is "partial 16S ribosomal RNA". It matches the Rfam family "Bacterial small subunit ribosomal RNA", at positions 523 to 796 of the family's 1533-position model. The record is from RNAcentral.